This 11073-nucleotide long non-coding RNA is filed under the name Capsicum annuum. RNAcentral's name for it is "long non-coding RNA (CANN_LNC004395)". The record is from RNAcentral. Lineage: Eukaryota; Viridiplantae; Streptophyta; Magnoliopsida; Solanales; Solanaceae.
CUUUCAUUUUUUAAUUUAUUUAGAUUUAUAUUAAAUCUUUUUAAAAUUAAUUUAUUUAAGCACUAUAUAGGAUGAUAAUUCUUAUAAAUUAAUCAUGAUUACAGAUAUAAAAUAAAUGGGUUUUAUUUUUAUCAGACUCUUGAACAGAAAGAAAACAAUAAAAACAGUGACUGGCUUUUCCAACAGCUAUCAUCGUCGAAGUGAGGGGAGGUACUAGAGUGUUUUCCGCUGGCGACUAAUCUCGGCAGAGCAGCGGCGAUGGGUGAUGGAGAUGAGUGGGAAACGGGAUGGUGCGGUGGCGGAGGGGUUUCGCCAGUCGGAUUUGGCCGUUUUUCUGGCAUAGGGGUGGCUGCCAUGGGUUUUCGCCGAAAAUCGAACAAACUCCGUCCAGAUCAGGCCGUGUUGGUGGUUGUCGGCGGCGAUUUUGCCAUUAAUGUCAUCAACAAUGAUUAUGUUAUUUUUUCGGCGAAAUUUCGCCGGGAAAUCAAAACAAUAAACAAUUGUUUUCUACUUAUUUCUUACUGUUUUCUAUCUUGCUUCAUUUUUAUUCUACUGAUUUUUAAUUAAUUUCUAAGUUAUGUAUGGUUCUGUAUGUAUAGUGUAUGAUUGAACUGUGAUUAUUUUAAUCAGCAUGAUGUGACUCUGACUAUGAAAAUUUUUCAGUAUACAGAUAUAUUGCUAUUCAGUAUCUUAAUGGCAUAUCAUAUAGUAUUAACAACAAUUUACAUAAUUAUUCAACUACACAUACUAAAUAAUGCAGAAAAAUUACUUGGAUAUUUUCAUUCAUACUUUUCUACAAUAAACUUACAACAUAAAUGAAAUAAGAUUAAAAUAAAACCUGAAUAUCAACUUUAAUUGAAUACAAAAGCAAGAUGUUAUCAUCGGAUCCUUGAACAAAAAUACAAACUCGAAUCAUAAUCUUUUCUCUUAUUUGCUUUCUUCUCUCAUUUUACUCUUAUUGAUAUUCACUCUGUUUUCUCAAAAAAAAAAAAAAAAAAAAUCACCUNNNNNNNNNNNNNNNNNNNNNNNNNNNNNNNNNNNNNNNNNNNNNNNNNNNNNNNNNNNNNNNNNNNNNNNNNNNNNNNNNNNNNNNNNNNNNNNNNNNNNNNNNNNNNNNNNNNNNNNNNNNNNNNNNNNNNNNNNNNNNNNNNNNNNNNNNNNNNNNNNNNNNNNNNNNNNNNNNNNNNNNNNNNNNNNNNNNNNNNNNNNNNNNNNNNNNNNNNNNNNNNNNNNNNNNNNNNNNNNNNNNNNNNNNNNNNNNNNNNAUAAAAUAAAAUAAUAUCCUAAAAUUAAUUUCAUUUAGUUAUUUAUUUGUUAACUAAAACUUUACUAAAAAUAAAAUAAUAAUUAAAAUAAUAUUGAAUCAAAUAUAAAUAUUUAAUAUCAAAAAUAUAUAUAUUACACUCGGGGAGGAUCAAAAAUCGCGUGUCUACAUUUUGCCCCCCUUUCUUUGAAAUCUCGAAGAGUUUUCAUACAAAGAAGUAGACAAAGACAUGAUUUUUGAUCCUCCGAUUAUUCAAAAAGAAUAUAAAAAGAAAAAAGAGAUGUGACCGAGUCCUGGUUUUGAACCGCCUACGUAUCCCGGGUUAUAAGGAAAUCAGAUUACGUGUAAUUUAAAGGUAAAAUGGUGAGAGAACGAAUUAGAGAUCGAGUGAGCUUCCAUCAAGUUUCCAUUUGACGAUUUCUGCCUUUUACAUUCAAAUGAAUAACAAAAAAUGAAAAAUACAAAUAAAAAUUGUAAUCUCUAGAAUCUUGAUUCUACUCUUCGCGACUUAAUUUUGAAAAUUCACCAUAUUCUUCAGGCGGGCUCCUGACUUGUUAUUUCUUCACCCUGUUUUUCAGGCGGGCUCCAAUGCCUCUUGAAUUACCAAAACAAGGAAGUACGUCUCAAUGCCACUUGAAUUACCAAAUCAAGGAAGUGCGUCUCCUUACCAAUGUCGCUUGAAUUACCAAAACAAAGAAGUGCAUUUCCUUAUCGAUACCGCUUGAAUUACCCAAACAAGGAAGUGUGUCUCCUUACAAAUACCUCUUGAAUUACCCAAAAUAAGGAAAUGUGUUUCCUAUAAAAUGUCUCUUUAAUUACCCAAACAAGGAAGUGCAUCUCCUUACAAAUGUCUCUUUAAUUACACAAACAAGCAAGUGCAUCUCCUUACCAAUGCCACUUGAAUUACCCAAGUCAAGAAGUGCGACUCUUUACAAAUGCUGCUUGAAUUGUCUAAACAAGGAAUUGCGUCUUCUUACAAAUUUCGCUUGAAUUACCAAACAAGAAAAUGUGUCUCCUAACAAAUGUCUCUUUAAUUACACAAACAAGGAAGUGCAUCUCCUUACCAAUGCCGCUUGAAUUACCUAAAUCAGGAAGUGCGUCUCCUUACAAAUGUUGCUUGAAUUGUCUAAACAAGGAAGUUCGUCUCCUUACAAAUGUCGCUUGAAUUACCAAACAAGGAAAUGCGUCUCCUAACAAAUGUCUCUUUAAUUACCCGAAUAAGGAAGUGCAUCUCCUUACUAAUACUGCAUGAAUUACCCAAAUCAGAAAGUGCGUCUCCUUACAAAUGCCGCUUUAAUUACCCAAACAAGGAAAUGCAUCUCCUUACUAAUGUCGCUUGAAUUACCUAAAUCAGGAAGUGUGUCUCCUUACAAAUGCUUCUUGAAUUGUCUAAACAAGGAAGUGCGUCUCCUUACAAAUGUCGCUUGAAUUACCAAAAAAGGAAAUGCGUCUCCUAACAAAUAUCUCUUUAAUUACCCAAACAAGAAAGUACAUCUCCUUACCAAUACCGCUUGAAUUACCCAAAUCAGGAAGUGCGUCUCCUUACAAAUGCUGCUUGAAUUGUCUAAACAAGGAAGUGUGUCUCCUUACAAAUGUCACUUGAAGUGCGUUUCCUAACAAAUGUCUCUUUGAUUACCCAAACAAGGAAGUGCAUCUCCUUACCAAUGUCGCUUGAAUUACCCAAAUUAGGAAGUACGUCUUCUUACAAAUGCCGCUUGAAUUACCCAAAUCAGGAAGUGUGUAUCCUUACAAAUGUUGCUUGAAUUGUCCAAACAAGGAAGUGCAUCUCCUUACAAAUUUUGCUUGAAUUACCCAACAAAAAAAUGCAUCUCCCCACAAACGUUGCUUGAAUUAUCAAACAAGGAAGUGUGUCUCCUUACAAUGUCGCUUGAAUUGUCCAAACAAGGAAGUGCGUUUCCUUACAAAUGUCACUUAAAUUGUCCAAACAAGGAAGUGCGCCUCCUUACAAAUGUUGCUUGAAUUACCAAACAAGGAAGUGCGUCUCCUUACGAAUACCGCUUUGAGAAAUUACGGCCUUUGAUGUUUAGGCUUUGAAAUCAUUGAUUUGAAGGUAACAUGUGUUCCUGAAUAAUGAACUAAUUACAAGAAGCAUGAUCCACAUCACCAAAAACUCAAAUAUAAAUUUACCUCAACACUCGAUUUGGAACUCUUUCUUUUCUUCAACUUAUUCUUCAGGAGAUCUCCUGAAUUUUCUUUUCUAAUUUUUCAAAAUAUGUUCCUGAACUCAAAAUAAAAGGUGAAACAAAAAAAUAACAUCCCAUUCUUUAGGAGGGUCCUGAACAUAAAAUAAAUUCUCAUUCUUCAGGAGGGUCCUGAUUAUAAAAAAUAAAUUCUCAUUCUUUAGGAGGGUCCUGUCCCAUUCUUCAGGAGAGUCCUAAUCAUAAAAAAUAAAUUUCCAUUCUUUAGGAGGGUCAUGUCCCAUUCUUUAGGAGGGUCCUGAGCAGAAAUUAAAAUUCAAUAAACACGAACAAAAUUUUUUGCCCCAGUUUGUACUAGAAAAUUUUGUGAGCAUCAUCAGAUUAUAGAUUUUGAAAAGUACAUAAAGAGUGUGAAUCAAACCCCUGCUAAAGAAAUGCAUCUCGUCAGAGUAAAACUGAUGACCAAAAUUAGGAAGUGUGCCACCUAAGAGUUAAAUUGAAGGACUCAACUAGAAAGUGUGUCUUCUAGGAGUGAAUGUUCAAGUUAGGAAGUGUUUCACCUAACAAAUGAAAACUGACUUAUUCAGAUUAGGAAGUCCGUCUCCUAGGUAUUAAAUUAAUGACUCAACUAGAAAGUGCGUCUUCUAGGAGUGAAUGUUCAAGUUAGGAAGUGCUUCACCUAACAAAUGAAAACUGACUUAUUCAGACUAAGAAGUACUUCUCCUAGGGUUUAAAUGAAAUAACUCAACUAGAAAGUGUGUAUUCUAGGCGUGAUGGUUCAAGUUAGGAAGUACAUCACCUAACAAAUAAAACUUGAAUUAUCCAAACUAGGAAGUGUGUCUCCUAGGGGUUGAAUGAAAUGACUCAACUAGAAAGUGCGUUGAGAUGUCACACCCUUUUUUCUCCCAAAGGGAUCACGUCGAAGAGUUUUUCCAAUUAAAGUGACAAUAUUGAAUAGGGAUUAUUUUAUUUACAUUUUUAGAGUCGCCACUUGAAAUUGAGUUAUGGUGUUCCAAGUAACCUUUUUGAAUCCCUAAUCAAAAGAAAAUGACUCUUUAUUGUUCUGCGAAAAUAAAAGACUGGGUAAGAAAUUCUGUUGACCAAGGGGAAGGUGUGAGGCAUCCUUCGAGUCCCGUGGUUCUAGCACGGUUGCUUUUAUUGACUUAUCUUAAGUUAAACUAUUUUGAUAAAUUAUGUUGGGGUCUAGGUUCUCAUUUUUAAUUUCUAAAAUUUGUCUAUUACUCUUAUAUUAAAAUAAAUUGGUAAAAAUUAAUUUUAGAAAAAUAUUUGUUAAGGUGCAUUAUUGCAUCCUUGAAAUUUUAAAUGUCUCAAAAGAUGCAUGCGCCACAUUCUUAAUUGAGAUGAAUAUUUUAAUCGCCUGAAACUUUGCCUAGUAUUAAAGGUGCUGGUUCGUCUAUUAUAAAUUCAAAAUGCUUUUAAAUAAUAAACUAAAGCAAAAUUCAUUUGAAGUAAUUAAUUUUAUAAAUAAUUAACAAACUUUAUUAAUGAUAAUUAUUAUUAACAAUAAUAAUAAAAAAAUAUAUCAAUUAUCUAUAUUAUGCUAUUUUAACAUUAUAGUGAAAACAAGAAUAUAGUCCAUUUCAAGAAAAUUGUAUAGGUGUACCUUAAGAAAUUAAAACUCAUAAAUUAUUACUUAAUUUUAUGUGCGAAGAGAAAGUGUUGAAAGAAAUGUGCUACUACUGGCAUUGAAUCUUCAACUUCUUCCACCAGUAUAUAUAUUGGUUUAAUACGGAACCAGUGAUUUAAAUCAAUUUGUGAAAAUUUUGGUUUUGGAAUAAUUCUAAGAGGACAACUUUUAAGAAAGAAAGGAAAGAGAAAAAAAAAUGUGUACAAUUUUACAUAAAGACAGUAGGUAAUGGAUUGUGAAGUGUUUGUGUGUGCGUAUGAAUAUCAGUGUGGGCAUGAGUUUUUUUUUUUUUUUUUUUGUGGAAAUCAAAUCACCAUACAUAUACCUUAAUAGAAUAUUUCAACCUUUAAGAUUAAAUUCAAUGAAUAAGCAAGAAACGAUAGCCACUUAUUCGAAUAAUAGUAUAAAUAAAAACAUGACACCACAAUAACAACAUAUAUUACAUAAUCCAUGAAAUCAUUGAAAAUAACUUUAUUCGUGAUUUAAUUCUCAAUAAAACAUAUAGAAUAAAAAUAUAGGAUUGAAUGAAACCUAAAAUAUGAAUUAAGACGAGCAAUGUAGCAAGAAACCUUCAAUUACUUGAACUGGAUAAUAAUGCGAGAAACAAUCGUCACCAAAAACUUUAAACGGAACUCCAACUUCAACUUUCUUCUUUUCUCUCUUUUUCUGAUGUUUUUGUUUUUCUGUUUUUCAUUCUAUCUCAAUUUUUUUGUCUAUCUAUGCUGCUCUGUCAAAGUGUCUGAUAUUUUUUCUAUUCUCUCUCUGUCUUUUCUGUCUGAUUUUUUUUAUACAGUGUAGGUGUAGUAUAGAAUAGUUUGUACGUCUAUUUCCUGGGGUUAGAGAGUCUUUAAAUAGAAGGAUUUUGAAGGAAGUAGUUUAGGUAGUUUAGAAAGUGCGUCUUCUAGGAGUGAUGGUUCAAGUUAGAAAGUGCAUCACCUAACAAAUGAAACUUGAAAUAUUCAGAAUAGGAAGUGCAUCUCCCAGGGGUUGAAUGAAACGACUCAACUAGAAAGUGUGUCUUCUAGGAGUGAUGGUUCAAAUUAGGAAAUGCACCACCUAACGAAUGAAACUUGAAUUAUCCAAACUAGGAAGUGCGUCUCCUAAGGAUUAAAUGAAAUGACUAGACUAGAAAGUGCGUCUUCUAGGAGUGAUGGUUCAAGUUAGGAAGUACAUCACCUAACAAAUGAAACUAGACAUACUCUAACUAGGAAGUGCGUCUCCUAGGGGUUAAUUGAAAUGACUCAAUUAGAAAGUGAAUCUUCUAGAAGUUAAAGCUCAAGUUAGGAAGUGCAUCACCUAACAAAUGAAAAAUGACUUACCCAAACAAGGAAGUGUGUCUCCUAGAGGUAUAGGAUGAUGAGUUUUCACUAUGAUUGUGAUUACUAAAUAUGUGUAGAAAUAUUGCCUCUUGUAUUUGCAAAAGUGAGGAAUUUCAUCUUGUUGAUAUCUAAACUUUAAAGCAUUCGAAUUGGAGGCAAAUUUCUCUCUAUUUCAAACAAAGACCAAUUAUAAUUUUAAAACGUGGUGGUUGAUUUGUGGCAUCUUUCUAUUGAGGUGACCACUCUUCCAUUUGUCAUACUCAGCUCCAUUUCAAUCAUUGAUAAGUAUCGUUGACUUGCAUUUUUGACCCCCAAAUUCUUUCUACUGGAACUUUUUGGCUCAAAUCAUAUUUCUCUUGCAUGAUGCUCCUGGGUUUAACUUCAAACAUAUCUUUCACUUCUAUGAGUCCAAAAACUAUCAGGUGACAAGCAUUCUUGAAUAUCUUACUUUAUUUUGAAGCAUGUUAACUUGGUACAUCAGCCCUUUGUCAUGCUUUGUACAAUUGGGGGAGUUGAUAGCAAGUUUUGAAGCUCUUUCUUACUUGACUUGACGUGAAUUCGACUCAAAAAAAAUACGCGAAAGAUGACAAUGAUUUUUCAUAUGACGAUAAAAAUUCAAAAUCAAAAAUAAAAAGAAAAAGAAAAAGGGAAAAGGGAAAGACAAAGUGCAUCUCUUUUUCAAAUCAACAUAAAGGAAAUCUGAUUUGAGUAUGAUAGCUGAUUCUAGUGAUUAUGAUAUGAAUUUUUGAAUUAAACAACCGGAUCUUUCCACACUAAUUAUUACAACUCUUGUUCACUUAUUGAGUUUGAAAUGGAAUCAAUCUUGAAUAUGUUCCCUCUAUAUCACAAUCCUCCUUUGGCUAGUGGCACGUUAAUGGGUUUUUGCCAACGCCUAUCUCAUUUUCAUUUCUUUCUCUACGCACUUUCACCUUAUGGUGCCCAAAAGUAUUUUUCACCAAUAAGACUCUUAUUUUACUCAUUCAUUUUUUCAUCUUUUUUUUUCUUUUGUCUUUUUUUUGAAAAUAAUGCCCAAAUACGAAACAUCAUAUACCCGUAACAUGUUUAGGCUUGACAUUCUCAAAGAGCGAUCUGAAGGUCUUUCUUUGGUUGUAACUUGGUUUUUGGAAAGGGUUAAAAAGAAAGGGCGGUAUAAGGCUCAAAAUUUACAUAACACUGGGUGAAGCAUACAACUUUUGGAAUCAACUCUUUUAAGGAAGUAAACUUUGCCCCAGUUUCAUUUCAUUCUGGGUAAUUUGAAUUUUCUUUUGGUUGGACCAAACCCCAGAGUAGGGCUGCCUAAGUAUCUUGUCAUAGCAAGGGUUGCCUACAUAUCUUGUCAUAGCAAGAAUCAGGUCAAACGUAGUUCAGACAUCUUAUUCUUCUUCUUGAUGCUCUUUUUUUUUGUUUUUUGAAUUGAACUUAGGCUGUCUUAUUUUUGUUCUCUUUGAUUCUUCUCUUUUUGGAACUUUUUCUAACUCCAAUUUUUGACAUUUUUUCUGACUCCAUUUUUCUUGUCACUUUUUUUUCUUUUGAUUUUUGAAUUUUUCAAAUUCUAUUUUGAUUCCAAAAGAGGGGUAUGAAAAAAAAUAACACUAAAGCUCAAAAGGGGUAACAAAGGAUGACACAACAUUUGGGUAGCAGAAUGAAAUGUCUUCAUCAUAUCAAUCCUUAAAAACACAAGUACAUAACAUGUAGUUUGAGAGUAGAACAUGAAGAUCGUAAGAAUCUUUUUCAACAUUGAUCGUGACUAAGCUCAUGUGCGUACGUCACUUCUUUAAAACUUGUGAAAUAUAUAUGUCCACUUAUGUUGUACUUUUCUCUCGAUGGGUGAUUCAUGCCCUUUUGGAGCUAACUUUAUUUUGCUUUUCCUGAUAGUGGAUACUAUUUAUCAUCCGAUCGAUCCCAUUCAAAAUUCUCGAAUUGAAUCUUCUAAUCGAUGCUCAAGUUAUUUUCUGAUUCGCAAAGUGAUUUCCUCAAUACAUUCAAGUGAGGUUGUAACUAUGUCCCUAAAUACCUGAACAUUUACUUAUUUUCUUAUAUGUUUUUUUCUUUCAACUCUAUCUUCUUGGUCAAAUAUUUCAGGAUUAGAUUGAAUUUAAAGAUCAGUCUAUGAAUUCAAUAUGCAUAUUACAUCACUAGAAUCACUAUAGAAAGAGCUCUCUACAGAAAAGAAAGACAACCAAACAAUAUAUAAUAAAAAUAAAAUAAAAAUAAAAAAGACACACAUUUGUUGACAGAAAGAUAGAAGGAUUUGAAUGGAAAUGAUAAUAAAAUAAGAUAAGAUAUAUCCCAAAUUUCAAUCCUAAAAUAAUUCGGGUAGUAGAAAGAAAAACAAAACAGACUACCAAAACUCUUUCCUUAUGGGGAGCAAAUUGGCUUCUAAAUUGUCGAACUUAAUAUUUUAGCCACAAGCUUGCUCGUCGGCCAUAAUAGAGUCUCCACGAUCAUUGCUACAUCAUCUUUUUUUAACUCAAUCAUUUUGAAUUUAUCACUUCAAACUCUCUCCAAAGUAAGUCGUCAGUAGUUUUUCCUCCCCCCUGCUCCUCUUAAUUGAUUUCAAUACUUUUUCAAAUGGCCCAAAGGAUCUCCAUGCCCUUGUUCCUAUCCAACUUUGAUGUUUUGGACCUUAGAGGCAAGUGAAAAUUGAAAAAUGUGUACAAAUCCUUGUAAAAAACACUCUUUUUCUCUUUUAAUCCUUGCACAUGUUACUUAUAUUUUGCUCCAAACUUUCACCUUCCUGGACAUUUCUUCUUAUUGCUUAUUUAUAACAGUCUACACCACCUCAUCUCAGACCCUAUAUUAUUAUUUGUGGGUCAUUUUUCUCUUUUCUUUGAACCUAUGUUGCAUGGAUAAGAAGCCAAAUUAGCCACAAACCAACCACCUUAAUAUUAUUUUGAUUUUGAAGAAAACUAAUGUGUUACAGUUCAAAAUGUUUUUUUAAGACCACCGAAUCCGUGAAGGACUGCCUACGUAUCUCAUUAAGAUGAGAAUCAGGUGUGCGUAGUUUUUGAAAAUUAUGUCGUACAAAAUUUAGCCUCAAGACCCCCUAAAGGUUCAGGGCUAUUAAGAUUUAUAUUUUUUGUAGAAACUUAGCCUCAUGAUCCCUAAAGAUUCAGGGCUAUUACGAUUUAUAUAUUUUUUUUUAUUUUGUAAAACUUAGCCUCAUGAUCCCUAAAGAUUCUGGGCUAUUAAGAUUUAUAUUUUUUUUUGUAAAAACUUAGCCCGAUGUUCCCUAAAGAUUCAAGGCUAUUAAGAAUUAUAUAUAUAUUUUUAUUUUGUAAAACUUAGCCUCAUGGAAGGACUUCCUACGUAUCCCACUAAAGAGUGAGAAUCAGAUCCUCGUAGUUCAUGAAGACCGUAAAACUAUGUUACUAAACUUUUUUCUUUCUUUUAAAAAUAAAUUUUUUCUUUUUUAAAAAAAAUGAUUCACUAAAUGUGAGGACAAUUUAAUCUCUUGCAUUUUAAAGUUGCCUAAAGCGGGUCAACAAACAAACAACCUUCCAAAUAAAUUUCAAAGAGCACUCAAGAUGCACAUGUUGGUCUUUAUAAAGUAGGUCAUUUGUCCUAGACAGACCCAGCCCCUAUGCUAAGUCUCGUUAAGUCAAAUACAUAUGAUGCAAAUAAAGCAUCGCCUAAUAAGAAUAACCACAUUCUGAGUUUUUAGUUCUUCUAAGUUUAAGCCUAAUAGGAAUAGGUUUCUAGACUGGCUUACCCAAGUGGACAAUCGAGCCUGGGAGGGACAACUUGGUCGGUAGUAGGGCAACACCGCCUUCGUUGUAGAUCCGAACCCCGCCUAACAUGUGUGGCUAUAAUCCUUCACCAAGUGCCUUGACACUCUGUUUAUCUCAAAAAGAAGGUAGGAUGCAUGCACUGCAUUCCUUCUAUCCUAUUUUAGAGACUCAGAGAGGAUGUGCAAGAGAAGAUAGUACAUAAUACAGUUCAAUCAAUAUCAAAGCGGUAAAUAAGCGACAAAUAGCACAUAAGGCCAACAAACACAAUAUCAACAAUAAUUAAAGCAAGUAUAAGUCAAUAUAAAAAGCUCGAAUUCUUAUUAUCCCCAGCGGAGUCGCCAGAGAGGUCACACCCCUUUUUCGCUCGAGGCCUUGAGAGAAAGAAAACAACAAAAACAGUGACUGGCUUUUCCAACAGCUAUCAUCGUCGAUGUGAGGGGAAGGACUAGAGGUUUUUUUUCCGACGACUAAUCUCUGUGGAGCCACGGCGAUGGGUGAUGGAGAUGAGUGGGGAAGGGGACGGUGCGGUGGCGGAAGGGUUUCGCUGGUCGGAUUUGGUCGUUUUUCUGGCAUAGGGGCGGCUGCCAUGGGUUUUCGUCGGAAAUCAAAGAAACUCUGACCAGAUCAGGUCGUGUUGGUGGUUGCCGGCGGCGGUUUUUCCAUUAAUGUCAUCAACAAUGAUUAUGUUAUUUUUCCGGCGAAAUUUCAUCGGGAAAUCAAAACAAUAAACAAUUGUUUUCUACUUAUUUCUUACUGUUUUCUAUCUUGCUUCAUUUUUAUUCUACUGAUUUUUAAUUAAUUUCUAAGUUAUGUAUGGUUCUGCAUGUACAGUGUGUGAUUGAACUGUGAUUAUUUUAAUCAGCAUGAUGUGACUGUGACUAUGAAAAUUUUUCAGUAUACAGAUAUAUUGAUAUUCAGUAUCUUAAUUGCAUAUCAUAUAGUAUAACAACAA